This 57-nucleotide transfer RNA is filed under the name Urocitellus parryii (Arctic ground squirrel). RNAcentral's name for it is "Spermophilus parryii (Arctic ground squirrel) tRNA". It matches the Rfam family "tRNA", at positions 8 to 63 of the family's 71-position model. Rfam says of the family: Transfer RNA (tRNA) molecules are approximately 80 nucleotides in length. RNAcentral also lists the same sequence under 1 other name. The record is from Rfam by way of RNAcentral. Lineage: Eukaryota; Metazoa; Chordata; Mammalia; Rodentia; Sciuridae.
UAGCUUAGUGGUAGAGCGCUUGCCUCGCAUGCAUGAGGCACUGGGUUUGAUCCUCAG